AUCGAGUAAGUCGUCAACCAGUUGAAAUGCCAUUCCUAACUGGCGACCAUAUUGAAAGGCGAUAGACUGUAAGGUGGAAUCAGCUCCAGAAAGCACUGAGACCUUGAGAAAAAUCAUUGUUCUUGAUUUUGAAAUUAACGUUCUUGCUGGAAUUAUGAUAAUUUUCACCUGUGAUAACAAGAUGAUGACUUGCUGGUUUUGAAGUCGGGCCAGCAUGCCGGAAGCCAUGGCGAGAAUGAAAUCCCCAGCUAUGAUCGACUGUGAAAUAAAGGCAGUUGUGUUAAAUGAAACUUAAUUCAUGCUUUUUAUCUUUUCAUACUUUCUUCUGUCCCCAGAGAAUGUUGACUGAUGGUCUACUCCUUCUGCUAUCCGCGACGUCAAUUACGUCAUCAUGAACCAAGGACGCCGUAUGAAUCAUUUCAGCUAUUUGUGCAAUCUUCUUCUGUUUUUGAAUCACACCCCUAUCAGCACGAAAACAUUCAGUAUUAGUUUGGCCGUGGGUUUUCUAUCAAUAUAGAUAACAAACGGAGCAUUUUGAUCUAGAUGGUAGUUGAUUGCUCUAGCCAUACACAUAGUAAUCACUGGUCGGAUCGCUUUACCCUCUCCAUUAAAAUAGUAUUGGGCAAUCUGCCUUAGCUCAGGCUGUGUGUUGGUCAGACCCUGUAUUAAUAGCAUGUGAAAAUUUAUGUAAAUUGAUGGCAAUAAAUAUAUAAACUAUCAAG
Molecule: long non-coding RNA, 722 nt
Organism: Daphnia magna
Lineage: Eukaryota; Metazoa; Arthropoda; Branchiopoda; Diplostraca; Daphniidae
Exons: 2
Source: RefSeq, a predicted model, not a curated record